AUGCUUUUAGACCAGCCCAAUCAGGCCACCCCUCUGGGGUGGAUUCCCUACUAGAUAUGUAUAUAAUUGGGACAUUGCCACCCUCGCCCACCCCCCACACACACACCAAUUCUUGAUUUUAAAAAAGUUCUAUUAACGACAGGUUGUGGUUGUGUUACUCUCCCAAGCCUGGAAUAUUUUAUUUAUUGAAGAAUAUUUUCAUUUCCACAGUGGUUUCAUUCUAAUCCCGCCCAUCCCCUAGGCUGCAGAGCAUCUUCAUGUGAAGAGACGGACAGAUGUCAAGAGAUUCAGGCUGCUCUAAGAAGGAAGUCCCUUUGCUGCCCCCUGCUGGCCAGGGUGGCUUCUCCAGUGUCCAGUCCAAGAGGAUCAGAUUCCCAGGCUGGUGUGAACAGGACAAAUGGGAGUGGGACAACCGAUGCCAGAGGAGAUGGCGACAUCUUUUCUGCCGUAGUUGCUGUCGUGAGCUCGGUGUCUAUAAGCUAACGGCCAUCCGCGUCUGUGUCUUCGGCCAGCUCCUGGUACGGCUGUUUUCUGCUGUUCCCCCGGGGUUAAGUCGUGCAAGGUUUUGCCAGUGAGGUGUUGCUGUCACACGUACUGUACCGGCAUAGAGAGCACUGCUUUGUUUUCCACUGUUGUAGAGAAAACUAGGGAGAACUUUAUUUUUCAAUAAACUUUUCUUGUGUGACAGGUGGACCUGAUUUGUGGGGGGCGGGUGAGAGGUUCCGGGUGGGUGCACGGGGUGUGAUACAGCCACUCCCCCAGCACUGGCGGCCGCGAUUUCACCGUCUGCAGACCCGCUGCUGGAAACCUUGAUGGGAAGGUAGGUGUAAGGCACUGGGGGAGGGGUAGGUGUUCACUGUGUAAGACUCUUCCCUUCGAUCACAUCCACCGGUACUGAUGGUGGAGCGCUCCUCCUCCCUGUACGUACCUAGAGGGAACUCAAUUUGUCAGUGGAUUCCUAGGCUUUCCUUUUUAAAAUAACCGGGGCUACAAUGGAUGUUUAAACUGCUUCAGGAUGUGCUAGUACGGUAGCCCUUAAGAGGCUGUCUGUGGGCUUAUUAGACCUGGACCACAUUUCCCUGCCUCAGAAAGAACACCCUGACCCCACAGCGCAGUGGUCCAUGAGCACUUGGUUAGGCAUGUGCCCCAGGAACAAGGAAGGUCAAGUUCAUGCUCCCACUAGGGGCUUGUUGUAGGUGAUGCUGGAGGGCAUGGCACAGCCUCUCUGAAGACAGCAGAGUGCCUGGAUGCUGCCCGAGCAGAGACUUCAUGGGAGACACCUGGCAUCUUUGAUGGGACACAAGUCCCCGGAAAGGUGAGCAUAACUUGAGUGCUUAAGUUUUGAGGAUGCGACGCAGAUUCCACCGUGGGAACUACAUUAAAUACAGGAAAAAAAAACCUGCAGAAAAGGAACCUGUUGCAUCUUGUAUUUCCCAGACCAGAACAGUGUCUGUUUUGUGUGUGUGAGACAUGGUAACAGCCCCUAGAACAUGCUGCAGAAUGCCAUUGGAGAAAAGCACUCUUGAAAGCAUCGGACUGAACCAAGGUCAGUGACCUCUUAGAAUAGACCACCUGCCCUUCAGGGGCUCUACCGGGGCACAAGUCGUCCUUCACCCACGACAGAAAACCUGCCCACAGCAGUGACAACUCUGGCGAUCACCUCCCCAUACCAUACAAAACAGGAAAAGGUCUUUAUUGGUCACGCUGCCUGUACGGCUGUUUUCUGCUGUUCCCCGGGUUAAGUCGUGCAAGGUUUUGCCAGUGAGGUGUUGCUGUCACACGUACUGUACCGGCAUAGAGAGCACUGCUUUGUUUUCCACUGUUGUAGAGAAAACUAGGAGAACUUUAUUUUCAAUAAACUUUUCUUGUGUGACAGGU
Molecule: long non-coding RNA, 1878 nt
Filed under: Bos grunniens (domestic yak)
Lineage: Eukaryota; Metazoa; Chordata; Mammalia; Artiodactyla; Bovidae
Description: lncRNA (ENSBGRG00000000600.1)
Source: RNAcentral